GAUGAACGCUGGCGGCGUGCCUAAUACAUGCCAGUCGAGCGAACAGAUGAGGAGCUUGCUCCUCUGACGUUAGCGGCGGACGGGUGAGUAACACGUGGAUAACCUACCUAUAAGACUGGGAUAACUUCGGGAAACCGGAGCUAAUACCGGAUAAUAUAUUGAACCGCAUGGUUCAAUAGUGAAAGACGGUUUUGCUGUCACUUAUAGAUGGAUCCGCGCCGCAUUAGCUAGUUGGUAAGGUAACGGCUUACCAAGGCAACGAUGCGUAGCCGACCUGAGAGGGUGAUCGGCCACACUGGAACUGAGACACGGUCCAGACUCCUACGGGAGGCAGCAGUAGGGAAUCUUCCGCAAUGGGCGAAAGCCUGACGGAGCAACGCCGCGUGAGGGAUGAAGUUCUUCGGAUCGUAAAACUCUGUUAUUAAGGAAGAACAAAUGUGUAAGUAACUAUGCACGUCUUGACGGUACCUAAUCAGAAAGCCACGGCUAACUACGUG
RNAcentral lists this ribosomal RNA (497 nucleotides) under uncultured bacterium. RNAcentral describes it as "partial 16S ribosomal RNA". It matches the Rfam family "Bacterial small subunit ribosomal RNA", at positions 28 to 507 of the family's 1533-position model. The record is from RNAcentral.